Long non-coding RNA from Gallus gallus (chicken), 1667 nucleotides. The record is from Ensembl. NCBI's taxonomy places the organism in Eukaryota, Metazoa, Chordata, Aves, Galliformes, Phasianidae.
GUUGUCAUGGUUUUGUAACUUCGCUAUUGGUAUUCCACAUCAUAACAUCAUGGACAAAAGAGAAGAACUACGUAUCCCAGAGGACCUCACGGUCAGAGAAGGAAGACACAUCACGGAAGAUACGUCAUCUGGUUGCGCGCGGUGCUUCUUCACUUUCGCUUGCUGCCGGGAGAGGAGUGGGUGUGCUUUCCAAGCCGGGCGCCUUCAUCAAGGUUUUCAAGGGAUACUGAUGCACACGAAACAUGAGGGAACGGGUUCCAGCUUCACAGAAACCAAAGUUAUUGGUUUAUCUUUACUUAAUGCAUGAUCCAGUAAGACAGCCCCCACACAUGGAAUUCAAAUCAGGCUGGCAGGAACACUCAGAAGUCAGACAAAGUUCAGACAUUACAUCCUUAGAAGGACGCUGAAUGCUUAUCUUACUGUUGGAUUGUUUUGGCACUGCUUACGAAUUUGUUACAUAAUUUUCUCUGUUGAAAGGACUGUCUUGGAACAACUACUGAGAUCUGAAGUCUAAAAACUACUCUUGACAUCUGGCUAUGGCAUGAGAAGUUGUAUCACUGUCUACUUCAGUAGGCCACCUGUUCAAGCUGUAUCUGCCUUGCAUGCCCUUUGGCCAGUGAGAAAGAACUACCAAUGCAAAUGUUUUCCCUGCAGUGCAGGAGGAGCUGUGAAGAUGAAAGAAGCACAUUCUUUCCUCACAGUGGAAAUGCAUUAAUAAACCUUCACAAUGGAUGAACAGCAGCAGUGAGGUAACAACAACAACAAAACUUUCUGGAGCAAGUCCAGGAGUUAAGGUCAAGAUAAAGAAGCAGCAUUAUGAAAGUUUGUGACACUGCUGAGAGAUCAUGCUGGGAAGGAAUGCCAGCAGGUCAUAGGGACUUCCAGGAGCACUGGGAGAAGAUAGAAGCCUGGGAAGAAUCAGCAGAGGGUUUUAGAUGCUGAACUGCAGACUGAAAGUGGACAUCCUGGAGUGUAUAGUUCAGAAGUCUGUUGGACAGUUUUGAGGCAACUGUUAACAAUGAAGCUUUUUGUCUCCUACUUUUCCUACAUCCACAACAGCAUUUUGUUUCUGUAGGAAAAACCUAGGUAAACUUUGCUACCCAGUCAUACUUAUCUGAGCAUAACUUGUCAAUUAGGACAGCUCUGAUAUAUAGCUAUUUAGUGAUUUUGAAUAUAGGUUGCUGUACCUCUCCCUGAGUUGGCCACUAGGAAGCAUAACGAGCCUACAGGGCAUGUUAGUGGUAAUUUAAAGCUGUUGCAGAACACUGUGAAGAGGCUGAGCUCUGGAAGGCUGGAACCAAGCUCACUGUAACCAAGGUCCACUCGUGCUCAUUGUCUGAGCCUAUUCCUGGGACUGUACUGACCCCUAGUGACUACAACUCUAAUUAAAUAAUUUCCAAAGCCUCUGUAUAAUUAUUAUUUUUACACAAAGUAUUGCUGUACAAAGGAGCUUUCAUUAAAAGGUGUCUCCAUUAGGAGGACAUUAUUAAAAUACUUUUUAAGCAAUGUCUACAGGAAGGGAAAUUUUGCUGUUUUUAUUUUACAAUAACCCAUUAUUUUUUUUCUCAUGUGUGUGCUGACUUAAGACAUACUUUGAUAUAUUAAUAAAUGAACAGCUUAUUUAAAAUACCACUGCUGCUAAGAUCCUGGGAGUCAGUGAUUUUAAU